CUCACGAUCAUAUGUAGGACCAAGGUUCAAAGUUAGAAGCUUAUUACAACGAGAUGUUUGAUGCAUCUAUACGCUGGGAAGAUAUAAUGUGGUUAAGAUCAAUUACUAGUUUGCCAAUUCUGAUAAAGGGGAUUCUCACUCAUGAAGAUGCAACUAGAGCAGUGGAAGCUGGUGUUGAUGGAAUUAUUGUCUCUAAUCAUGGAGCUCGCCAACUAGACUUUGCUCCUGCCACUGUUUCUGCCCUUGAAGAGUUAUGUAGGUGUUAAAUUAGAGAUGGUGAAGCUGAUAAUGAUUGCCCGUGUUCUGACGGUCUUCCUCAUGCUGAUGGACUAGAUGAUGGUCGUGAUUUGAGAGAUUCUGAGCUGCAAGCAAAGCGUUGUUUAAGAUAUUAUCAAGAGGACAGAAUGAGCCUUCGAGGAUGUCUAUUGAAACCGGCUCUUAUGUUUUUCAGUAUCCUCGCAUCACGCAAGUUUGCAUUCCAUGCGCAAUGAAAUCACAUAAGUUAUAUUCUUGUCAUGCAUUCAUUAGGCCACCAUUUAGGCAAUACCAAGAUCAUAGUCUAAAGCAGAUUUUGGACUUGACACCAAACCAUAAUGUAUUGUUGGAACUGAAACAUUCUUGAACUAUUGCAGUUGGUUCCAUUUCUUCCCAUA
This is a non-coding RNA of Cucurbita pepo subsp. pepo (vegetable marrow), 653 nucleotides long. The record is from RefSeq and is a predicted model, not a curated record. NCBI's taxonomy places the organism in Eukaryota, Viridiplantae, Streptophyta, Magnoliopsida, Cucurbitales, Cucurbitaceae.